AAAAAACUAAUGUCAACAAUCAGCAUGGAAUUGGGAUAUUCGUAUCAAAGGGCUAUUCAUGCAGGAAAAGGACUGAAUAUUACUAUUAUAUGAAGAAUUCCAGCCUGCAUUAAAUACUUUGUUGGAUCAUUGAGACAGAUUUGACAUCCAUGUCUAUCCACAUCUGAUAGAGAUGAUCACUAAACAUUCUAGAUGGGUAAAGACCUGUUAAAUCAGCAUUGACUCAGCAUUGAGUAAUUUUCAUCUGUGCAGACACUACAAGUACAAACGCAUGGGAACAAACCAAACUUCAAAUGUUGAAGAGUGAAGAAUUAUUGUGAAAAGUUCUAAAUGUUAGAAUACCA
Mya arenaria is the source of this 344-nucleotide long non-coding RNA. RefSeq lists it as uncharacterized. Lineage: Eukaryota; Metazoa; Mollusca; Bivalvia; Myida; Myidae. The record is from RefSeq and is a predicted model, not a curated record. The transcript is spliced from 3 exons.